This is a non-coding RNA of Salmo salar (Atlantic salmon), 656 nucleotides long. The record is from RefSeq and is a predicted model, not a curated record. NCBI's taxonomy places the organism in Eukaryota, Metazoa, Chordata, Actinopteri, Salmoniformes, Salmonidae.
CCCGUCCCUGGUGACUUUCUUCAGCCAAGAUGGCUGACAAAACAUUACGGGCAAGCAAAUCAAUUUUGAGCAAAUUGCUCAAGGGCCACGGUUGAUUUGUCUGUGAAGAUGACGUUAUUGAAUGUCUUGCCAGCUUUGAUCCAUGCCUAGGCCUGCAGGACGCAAAGUUCUUUGUCAGACGAAUCACUAGAAUCAUUGACUCACUCACGCGUUGAAAAGAGCGAGGAACGAGAUGGAGUCACAAUCCAUGCCAGACACACCUGUGAGCUCUGGAACUCCACCUCCGACAGGCAGAGUCAACAUACGUGGCGGGUUUAUCAGGUCUUCAGUUCACCCUGACAUUUCCAUUCCUCUUCUGACCACUUGACCUACUGCUCACCCGGCACUGCAAGGACCGCCCGGACCGUUCUGCUGUUCUGCUAUUCCAAGGAUGUGUAACCGAAGAGAGAUUCCACGAGUGGGCACAGAAUCAAUAGCCUUCCCACAGCGGACGUCUAUUUCAGCACCGUUUCAUGCUGCUCUGAGACAAGCAUUGAGAAAAGAACAUUUUCAAAUAUUCCAUGAUAUUCUUAAGAUAUGUGUUGACUGAAUAUAAGCAAGUGAUGUCUACUAAAUAAUCAAGUUAGGUUUCUCCAGAAAUAAAUAAUUCUAAAUAA